GUUUGCCCCGCCCUUUCCUCGCCCUUUUCUUCUCACAGCCUGCGGGCAUGGAGGGUCUAGGGGCGAGGGGUCCUGGGAGGCUGGGUCGCGGUGGGCGCACGCGCUGACGCCUGCGUUCUGUGGCGUCCGCGUUAGGUGGCGGGGGCGCCCUGCACCGCGGGCAGGGUUUCGGGGAGGUGGGGGCGGCUCUUGCCUGCACUUGGCCUCUGGAGACGGGCUUCUGAUGGUCACGGAGCAGAUUCCUGAGUGGGGCUAUCUGUGCCUGACUUAGCUCGCAGUAUAGCAGAACUAGGCAGACUGCCAAGUGCUGUGGCCAGCAGGAAGCAACACUCCUUCCGCCUCUGAGCUCCAUGAGACAGACGAAUGCGCCUUUGCGGAGCAGAGCGGCAGAGCCGGGGCCACGCGGGAUCGCUGGCAUCCCAGGGUAUGUUUCUAGCCUGUGCAUGUCCACUGUGGGGGGGCAGAGCCUGUGACGGGGAAGAAGGCUGCCAUGCACCUCACUUAUUCUGAAAGCAAAAGUCAGAAUUAAUAGCAGUUUCUGCUCCAAGUACUGUGGAUUGAGCCCAGGAGUUACCUCCCCAGCCCUUUUUAAUUUUUUUUUUUUUUAAUUCUGAGGCAGUCUCACUAAAUUGCUGAAGUGCCUAGGCAGAGUGGUGUGAUUAUAGGGCUGUGUAACAGAAAUCCUUAGUGUUUGGUUUUAUGAUCUUCCUUUUAAAUCCUUCAUGAUUUGCUGGACAUAAACUAUGACUUCAAAUUGAUAACAUCAGAAUCUUGUUUCCAAUGGCAUGCUGAAGUUUUCCAAUAUAGGUUCAUGAAUCUUAGGCCUAAACAUAGAAACAGAAAUUGUAACAUUUCUAGCAGGAAAUAUAGGAGGAAAUGUUAACAACCUGAGGGUAGGCAAAGAUUUCUUACAUGAGACACCAAAAGCAUAAUCCUUAAAAUAAAAAUUAAUUAUUUGGGCUUCACCUAAAUCAAAAGCUUAUAAUCUUCCAAAGACACUGUUAAACCAGUCGUGGUGGUACACGUGUAAUCCCAGUACUCAGGAGGCUGAGGCGGGAGGGUUACUGGGAGUUCGCGGCUAGCCUGAAUUGCAUAGUGAGACUCUGUCUCAAAGCAAAGCAAAGCAAAACAAAACAAAACAAAAGCCCUGCUAAGACAGAGCACAAAUCAUAGUAGGAAAAACUAUUUGCAAAUCAUAUAUAGUAAAACCUUGGAUUGUGAGUAACUUGGUCUGGGAGUGAUCCGUGAGGCAAGUGAACAUUUCUAGUAAGUUUUAGCUCCAUAAAUGAGUGAUACCUCGUAAUGUGAGUAGAAUGUGGUGCUGGGAAUCACAUGAUCACGACUGAGCUAGGGCUCCCUCUCUCCCUCUCUCUGUCUCUCUAUGGGACAGCCACAAAAUUUUCAAAUGUAAAUGCAGAUCCAUUUGCUUAUUUUUCUUUACAUUUGUUUUUUUAUUUUGUACUGUAUUACAGUAUUUUUUUUGUCUUUUUCUUUUUUUAUUGGUACCGGGGAUCGAACUCGUGACUGCCUGCUUGCAAGGCAGGCACUUAUGCCGCUGAGCUAAAUCCCCCGCCCCUGUAUUACAGUAUUGUAAUCAUUUUUACAUGCAUAUUUUUGUGGAAUGAAUCAUCCAACUUUCCAUUAUUUCUGAUUGGGACAUUUGCUCUGAUACAUGCUUUGAAUUACAAGCAUGUUGUAACAAAUGGAACAAAUUUGGCUCACAAAUCAAGGUCUGACUGUAUUGAUAAAGGAUUUAAUUCAGGAUAUGGAAAGAACCCUCUGGACUUAAUAGCUACAUCUGUACAAGAAAAUGGGCAAAACAUUUGAAAAGAUUCCUCCUUCAAAGCAGAUGUGUGGAUGAGUGCAAGCGUAGUAAACGCUUCUCACCCUUAGCUGGCGAGGAAAUGCAAAGUAACAGACCCCGUGAUGUCACUGUGCACCCAGUAGCAAGGCUGUGGGGAGAACCUGGCCAGCAAGUGCACAGCGCAUGGACCAGUCGAGCCGGUGCCGAGGUCAGGAGGCUGUGACUCCCCUCUGCAGAGCACGGGCCGACCCUCAGCUGGAAACUGAGGCCAGGUCUGGAGGGCGGUGAUGUUUGUCUGCCCACAGAGUGGGAUCUGUGAAGCAGUGGGGACGAAUGAGCCUCACGGACAUAGCGCUGACGGGAGGACAGCGAGCACAGGAACGCACAGGUCCUGCUCGGCCCGUGUGUGUUAUUCCUCAGUAAGGCCAUCAUAAGCCAAAUACUGUGUGCCCAAAGUGACCCGAUUACACCUGCCCUCCCCACAGCAGGGUGUGGCCCAGUCUGCCUCCAGCCCAGCUUUUUCAUUUUUUUCUUUAAUUUUGAAACAAGGACUCAUUAUCGCUAAGCUGCCCAGGUAGGGCUUGACUGGCAAUCCUCCUGCCUCAGCCUCCCUGGGAGUGCUUAGAUUACCAGCCUGGGCCUCCCACCUAGCUCCCUAGCCAGGCUUCACCGUGCUUGUUAGCCGGCGGGGGUGGGACAGAAUAACUGGACCCAGAGCUUUGUUCCAGUGAAGUGUGGGCCACCCCACCAAACCGGCGGAGCACUACACAGAAGUGGGGAACAGGGGCUUGGGGUCCCCUUGCUGAGGAAGCUGUGCUGCAGCUGGCUGCGGUGCUCCACGCUGCGUUCUUAGCAGUGAGCCUGUGAGAGUGGGGUCAGCCUGCGGCCCUUGCUGGGUGCCUGGGCUGCUGCAGGCUGGGAAGGGCUCAGGCCAGCCAGCCCCAUGAGGUGGGAGGCAAAGAAGCCUGGGCUCCCGCAGGCCCCGGGCAGGGCAGAUCCUGACUGCACCAGCCCCCACCAGCGGCCGGAGGUGGAAGGGCUCCCUUGGGCCGCUGGUGGGCCACUAGCUGUGGGCGUGGGGUGCAGGCUCAGCUCUGGAACCGGGUGGAGAAUUCCAGAAGAGGAGGCGGUCAGCCCUUGGGUCCCGGCUCCACCGCCCUGAGCUGGCCCUUUACCCUUCUGUGGUGAGGAAGGAAAGAAGAUGGCCCAGCCCUCGGGCUCCCUCUGGUGGCAGAGCCCAGGCACUGUUUACCCGCUGCAGAGCUGCAGGUAGCUCAGCUGCUUCUGGCUGUGCAACCGGCUCUAAACCCUGACCCCUACAGGAAGGAAUCAGCUGUUUUCCUACCGUGACUGCCCCUGGCAGUCAGGUGAGACCCAUCUCAGAAUCAUGUUCUUAAAUGCAUAAAAUAAAUAAAAAAUAAAUGCAUAAAAUAAAAUACUUGCGGUUACCUUUUCUAUCAAAAUUGGCAAGAGCGCUGGUCCUGUUGAAAUGUACUUUCCACCAUUUAAAACAAAUCGUGGUAUGGUGUGUGCUGUGUGUGUGUCUUUAUUAAUGCUUACAUUCAAGAUCUGGCAGUGGUUCUGAGCAAGAGAGCAAGAAGGUGAUAGGGUUUUCAGUGCGAUGAAAGAGAGAAUAUAAAAUAAAAGUAGCCUUUAUUCUAAGGAUGUGGAGAAAACUCCGUGACCACCGGGGCCUGGCUCUCUUCAUGCUGGAAAUGUGGGGCGUGGGACAUAUAUAUAAUUUCUGAUUGGGGUGGUUUCUUAGGGCAGCAUUGCUGAGGUGCGAACAGCUGAUUGGGACCUUUUCAUGCCACUGGUAAUUUGUCAUAGGGGAGGAGAAAGUGACCUCAAGGUAAAGAUCCCCUGGUCCUGCCUCCCAUGCCGUAAUAUCGUAUCUAGGGCAAAAUCCUUUCAUUCUCGUCUUUUUAUUGUUAGGAAAAGGGUGCAAUCUCUCUCUCUUACUACUUCCUGCUGAAAAGGGGGCGCCUAUUAGGGUUUAGGAGGGUUGGUGGGAUGAUAGUUGAUGCUGAUGCAGAAGCUGGUGCCAGGUGUUUCAGCCAGGACAACUUUAUCAUUGGUGAAUGCCCGCAUGUUAGACUGGAAGACAAAGAGACAAGGUGCUAUGAGAAGGCAGGCCACUAUCAUAUUUAAGGACCCAGGAAAGGUAGAAGGAAAGGUGCCUUUGAUUUAAAUAUGCUGUUCCAUCAGGACCAUGGUGAGGUAGAAUUCUGAAAGAUAAGUGUGGGGUUAGGAGAAGUGAAGUUAUGAGAGGUGAUUAUUCCCCCAUCUGAAAGGGUAAAAGUUAAGAGUGUAGGUAGGACUUGUCUCUGGUCCAGGAGUUGAGCUGGAAAGGGUAAGAGGGAUGGGGAGGGCCAUGGCUGUGUCACUAUAAGGAAGGUAAGAGCCUAGGCCUUCAGGGAUGUCACAUUUGACUAAACAGCUGAGGGUAGAGAAAACUAAGACAGUUGUCACAUAGAACAACAUGAAGAUGAUCUUAUGCAUGAUGUGGGAGUCUUUAGAAAAGACUGUUUUAAGAGUCCUGCUGUAAAAAAAAGAUAAUUAAUAGAAUGUAAGGAAUUAGGAACCAAAUCUAAUUUAAUAACAAAACAUGACUUAGCCUGAGAGUUGUGGCUGUGAGGCCUUGGUGAGAUGGAGAUGAGUAGGCAAUGGAGUGGGUAGAUUUAGGGCUGGAGGGCGCCACUUGAGUGAUGUGGAACCAGGAUGGGAGUCCAGCAACUGUGACCGCUGUUGGGGUUGCCAAGAAGACCAGGUAUGGGCCACUCCACCUUGGUUGUAGUCCUUGGGAUGAUUUCCUGUAAUAGGACUUUAGUAACUACAUAGUGGUCUCCCUGGUUGUGGGAAAGGCUUUUAUCUAUCCUGAAAAGUACAAACAAAGGUGGGAAGAUAUUUGAGAGUUUUUUGGCAGGGCAUGUGUGUAAAAUCUAUCUGCCAGUCCUGACCAGGGGUGUGUCCAUGAAAUUGAUGAGUAGGAAAGGAAGGGGGUGUUGUAUGUGUCCCUGAGGAGAGGUCCUAGCACAGAGAUGACAGGUGUGAGUAAUCUGAAGAAUGAUAGCCUUUAGAGAAGGGUGUGUAACUAUACUAGGGUUGAGAGUCUGUAUAAGGCCUGUGGUCCUAUAUGGAAACAGUCAUGUAAGUCAGGGAUGAUGUCUAAGGCCUGUUGAUGUGGGAGAACAAGUUUAGAUCCUUGAAAAAUCCCAUCCCUGGGUGUUUUGUGUGUAACCUGGUUUAUGAAGUAGCUGUAGCUGCUCUGGUGCUGAGGUGCUGAGGUGCUGAGGUAGACUGUUUGGGACUAACAGAGAAGAUGAGAAGGACAGGGCCUUUGUGCAGCUAACUUGGCUUGUGAAUCUGCAAAGGCAUUGCCGUGAGCAAUGGGAUCUGCAGAAUUCUGGUGUCCCCUACAGUGAAUAACUGUUGGCUGAUUUGGGAGUUGUGCUGCUUCUAGGAGUUUAGGGAUAAGAGGUGCAUUAAUGAUGGGGUUCCCUGGGAGUUAAUAAAGCCCAUUCUUGCCAGAUAGAGGCAUGAGAGUGUAAAGUGCUAAAUGUAUACCUUGAAUCAGUAUACAUAUUUAUGACUUUGUCCUUUGCUAGUGUAAGAGCCCAUGUAAGGGCAAUAAGUUCUGCCCUCUGGGAACAGGUCCAAGGUGGCAGUGGAUUUGCCUCUAUAACUUUUGACUGGUUAACUAUUGCAUAUCUUGCCUUUUUUUUGGCUGUCUGUGUUGAACUACCGUCUAUGAACCAUGUGUCAAAGGCUAGAGAGAGAUGUGCUAUUAAUGUGAUGGAAUGGGGUAGAAGUCAUCUGUUAAGACUUCAAUACAGUCAUGGUGAGAGUGGCCCUCUGAGGUGGGAAGUAAAGAUACCACAUUAAGAGGACCACUAGUUUCUGAGUGUUAGGUCUGAGAAGAAGAGGGGGGAAGAAGAGGGGAAGAGGGGAAAGAGGUCCGUGGAAGGAAUGGAGUGGACAGCCGUGAAAGUAGUGGGCAGUGGUGGCUGCAAAGAUAAGAAAUAUAAAAUAUAAGUAACCUUUAUUUCGGGAAUGUGGGGAGAGACCCCCCCGGCCCCGGGGCGCAGCAUCUCCACCCCGGGACCGAUGGUCUCUCUCUGGAACACACUCUCCCUUUCUCCUUCUCCUUCUUCUUCUUCUUCUCCACGUGGAGUGAGGCCCAUAAGUAGCCUCUGUCUGGGACGGACCCCAAGGGGCAUUAGGGAUGCACAGUAUUUCAUUGGCACACGUUUGGCACCAGGGUUACAGGGAUGGGGGUAUAGGAUUACAGGCAAAUCUAUAGGGGCGGGGGAGGCAGGAGCCCCCUAACUUGGCUGAGGCUUUUCCUGGUUAAAGUGUCCGGUCUGGGCCAGCAACUCUUUCACUGAGAGAGGGCUAGAUGUACCUGUUGAAGGCGAGAAGGGGUCAUCAGGGCAGGGAAUGCCUUGUGUGAGAUGAGCUCAUUUAGGUGAUGAGGUCAGUGUACUGUAAUAGACUACCCUAAUGUGAACUUCUUAGCUUCCUGUAUAGGUAGGGCUGCAGCCACAAGGGCUCAAAGACAAGGUGUCCAUCCUUUUACUGUGUUGUCUAACUGCUUUAACAAGUAGACUACCACUAGAAAAGAAGGUCCCUUCUUGUAUCCUAGUAUACCUACAGCAUUGUGGCCCUGAAGGGUAGUGUACAGAGUGAAAGAUUGGGUGGGAUCAGGAAGGAUGAGGGCUGGAGCCCUUAGGAAAACUCUUUUAAUUUAUGAAAGGAGUUAUGUAUGGGCUCAGUGGGGUCUAGGGGUUCUGAUAUGGGGCCUUUAGAAGCUUUGUAGAGGGCUUGAGCUAGAGUUGCAAGUUAUGAAUCCAUAGAUGAAAGAAAUUAGCUAAACCUAGGAAAGAUGUAACUUGUUGUUUAGUUGUGGGCACCUGGAAAUCUCACAGAGUAGCCUUACAAUCUGUAGUGAUGGAAUGAGUGGUGGAGGUGAGAGAGAGACCUAGGUAUUUGACUUUUGGGGAAGCGAUUUGGGCUUUAGCAGGAGAGACCCUGUACCCAUGACUGGCAAGAAAAUUAAGGAGAGUAGCUGAAUGUUAUGUGGCUAACAUAUGGGAUGGAGAACAUAAGAAAAGGUCAUCUAUGUGUUGAAGGAGAGUGCUAGGUUUGAGAUCAAGUUCUGUAAGGUCAGCAGUGAGAGCUUAGCUAAAGAAGUGAGGAUUAUCACUGAACCCUUGGGGUGCACUGUCCAAGUAAGUUAUUGAGACCUGGGAGUGUCUGGAUCACUUCAUGUAAACACAAAGAAAUCCUGACAAUCAGGGUGUAGGGGAUGCUAAAAAACGCAUCUUUAAGAUCUACAACUGUAAACUGAGUGGUGGAGGGAGGGAUAUGAGAAAGCAUGAUAUAAGGGUUUGGCACCACUGGGGUAACACACUACUGAUCACCCUAAAGUCCUGUAUUAGACGGUAAGACCUAUCAGGCUUAAGUACUGGGAGAAUGGUAGUAUUAUAGGAUGAGUGGGUAGCUUUAAGAAAACCGUUGUCUAAAAUGCACUUAAUUAUAGGUAUAAUUCCCUGUAAAUGUUUGGGAGCUAUGGGAUAUUAGGGAACACAAGGAAAAAAUUGAAGGACUCCUGAGACAAAUUAAAAUGGACAUGGCAUGGGUAGUGCAGGUGGGAUUAGAGGUAUCUCAAACUAUGGGAUUGACCAGAGAAGAAGGAGUCUGGAGCCUGCAUGGAACAAGCCUUGUCUGCAAAGGCUGCAUAGGUUGGCUGUAAACACCCACUAUAGAGACUGAGGACUUAAUAUAGCGGCCUGAAAAUUCAGGAAGAACACUAUACAUGGCCUCCAUUUCCACAAGUACAGAGAAUGUCUUACCUGAGACCUCCAGUGGGACUUGGGGCUCUGGGAAGGACACCUUAAUGGUGGGCCCCAAGCCCCAUCAGUCUUCAGCAGUAAGUCUGAGAAGAUCAGUCAGCGAUGAAUCUAGUGGUGAUGAGAUCUCCUCUGAGGGCAAGGAGUUAGUGGAUGGCUUACCCACUCUCUGGCAGCUAGAACAGUUGCUCUUCCAGUGGCCCUUGAAAUUCCUUGCAGUGGCAAGGUCCCAGAGGAACUCCAGGAUUGGGGCAUUAUUUUGCCCAAUGUUGUUUUUUUGCUGCAUUUGAAGCAUGGUCUGGGAGGGGUUCAGGCAGCUCCACCUUGUCUCAGUUUACCUAUCUCAGAGCUCCAAGUGUCACUGCUAAAAGAUCAGAUUGUUAUUUUUCCUUUUGAUUUUUAUCUCUGUUGUUGAAAACAUGAAAAGCCAUAUUAAUAAGGUCUCCCUAUAGGGUUUGAGGGCCAAGAUUGGCCUUUUGUCUUGGGAUCUGGCCCACAGUGAAAGGUAUCUGUCUCUUCCACAGUCACAAGACAUCUGGCUUUAUCUUGGGUAGGUGUACAGCUUUAAGUUUAAAGGAGACAAAGGCAAAGAAUCAAUUAAGUAUGCAGGAGUCAAAUAAUACAAUCAACAGAGUAUUUAUGAUUAUAACUUUAGCAAUGACUUCCCAUAAGGAGGAUAAGGAUAAGGUUCAGGGAAUUUUAGAAACUGACAUGUCAUUCAUUUGUCAUACACACAUUUAGGUUUUUACAAUUGUAUAAGUACCUCUUAUGCUGUUAGAAUGUCUAAUGCCAUCUGAUUUUGGAGGAUGGCCUGUUUUAUUAAUUUUACCUUUUUACUUAGGAGAGAAAUCAGCUGCAGUGUCACCUAACACCAGUUGUGUAUAGUUAAUUAUGGCCCCAAUUUGCUGGUGGAUACAAGCAAAAGGAAUCCAAAAGGAAUUUAUAAUUAUCUCUUAAUUUUAGUUGUUGAACAUCCAGAAGAUUGACAACAGUACAGUGUAGUAGAGGCAGUAAGCUUAACAUAGAACAUUAAAUGGAACUAUUAUUUUGUAUUAACCAUGGGUGUUUUAACAUUUGAGCACUGAAGAAAUUUGUGACAUUGUUUGGACUGUUCACUAAGCAUCUCCAGUAUAACAUAUACAUUACACAAAUUUUUGUUUAAAAAUUAUCAUUUGACUGGUGACCCCGUGUUGUUCUGACCUGAAUUUCCUGGCUGGAGCACAAGAAAAGGGCAGAUGUGUGCAUCUGAAAGAAAGCACUUGUCAUCAUAAACAACCCCAAUUUUAUAUUUGAAGGUAUGAAUACACCAUCAGAUCAGCAACAAUGAAUUGUCUUACUCAUAUGAACUUUAGUUGAGGUGUCUCCCAUAAGGCUAUGAAGAUUAUUGGGGCCUCCAAUUAAUGAACAAGAGCUGGUUAAAGUUACCAAGUGGCCACUUUCCUGUUUAUCAAUUCGAGUCCUGUCCAAUGUCUCCUCACCCCAAGGGAUUUUGUUUAACCAAGUUUAGCAUCAUUUUGACCAGCUGGCAACCUAGGUGGAAGCAUGUUUUUUAAAUCUAUAACCCAAAUAAACCUUGAUUAAAUGAUCUGAAAAUGUAAAAGAGGAGGAAAAAUUGUUGAGAUCAAAUAAAAAGGAACAGCUGUUUAUAGGGCAGGCAAAUGGACAAACAGACAGCAGAUAUAUAAACUGACAAUCAUAAAAUUAUAGUGCACUCAAAUAUAUUUGACCAAUUUGGGUGAGCUGGCAGAGAAAAUGUCGAUGCAGGGGAAUGGGACAAAGAACCCUCCAAUGGAACAGAUGGCUCGGGUAGUGGAGGGAGAGGAUGGCAGUGCAGGGGGCAAAGAAACCUCUAGCUGAGAAGGCUGCGGGGUUUGGUAUGAGAGAUGCAGGGGAGGGGCCGUAAAGACAGGAGCCACAUUAUCUAAAGCAGUCCAGUGGGGAGGGAGGGAGAGAGAGAUCCUUGUGGAGCAGAGUGAGCCAGAAAUAUUUGGGCCAUCACAGAAGACAGAGUGAGAGAAGGACACAUCUUAAAGUGAAAAGGCCUAAAGAUGAAGAGUUUCUGCCAACUUGCUGCCAUUGUGACAAAAGCAUAAAUAAAAGAUCAGCUUUCUGGUUUUUAUAGCCUUCUAGAGGCCAAGAGCACCAAGGUUAUGAACGAGGCACCCCAAAAGUGUGUUUUGAGGGGACAGGAAGUGGUCCCCAUGACCGAAUUUUAAGUGAACUGAGAGAACACCUUUGCCUUGGAACAUAAGAGCGUUAGCACGCCCCAGGAAUGUGGAAGCUGUGCUGGGUCACACUUAACAAAAGUUAAAGUUAUUUUGAAAGUGUGACACUGGAAAGUCCCUAUACCCAUUCUCCUUGGCCUCAUCACUGAAAAGUGGAGGGCAGGGUCCCAGUGAACAAAAAUGUCAGUCUUGCCUCAAGCCAUGUGGCCUAAGGAAUGUCAAAACUGGUGUCCCUGUUCAGGACGGCAGGAUGGGUUUUCUGUUGCAAGCUUGCUAAAGUUAUGGAAACAGAAAACUCUGGACGGUAGCUCACCUACAUGGAGUGAGGAAGGUUGGCAGUUUACCUGUGUUCAGUGAGGAAGGUUGCUGUUGCAUGCAGAUUAGCGGUGGCAAGUAAACAGUCCUGGAGGAAGAAAAAGGUGGUUUCUGAUGUGGCCUAGCUCUAACCAAUGCACCUCCUUCCUGUUCUGUAUGUGCUGUUUCAAUAAAAAUUAAAAUUCCAUUUCCAGUAAAGACUUAAGUUUCAGCUCCUUGUAAAUCCCCCCCAACCCCCUUCUGCAUGCUUCUGCAAGGUGUGCUGUUCUGAGAAAAUGUUUAACCACAGAGAGCAAUGGAAUGUACCAAAAAUGUUAUCUGAAAUAGGUUGAUAGCUUUGUGGUUUUUAGCUUUAAAAACUCCACCCUUAGCCUGUGAGGCAUGCAGUCUUCCACAUUGGCUACCGGAGGCUGCGUCGACAGGCCUGGCCUAAAAAUAAAGCCUUUGCUCCAAAUUUCUUAAUUUCUUGCUUCCUUGGAUUUUAAUCCGGGGUCUGAGCUAUCACAUUUGGGGGCUUGUCCGGGAUGGAAUCAAGACCCCUGACUCAAUUCUGAACAUCUAAAAGUAAGUACUCUGGAGGGUUUAUUUAGACUGCAGUCAGUUCUUACUUCAGGAGGGGACACCCUCAAUUUGGGGAGUGGAGACCUCCCGAGGACAGAGUCAAUUGUUUUUUGGGACGAAUCUCAUCUGUUUGUGACUCUGCCCCGGGUGGGGAACUGCUCUGUUGGUUAAUUUGUUAAUCCCUCCAGAUCCCAAAAUUUGACCAAUUUUUGAGCAAAGGCCAUUUUUGCUGCAGUUUGUCUUGUCUUGUAUGUCUGUCUGUGUGUCCAUUUGGUCUAACUGUUCUCCUUUUGGUUACCCAAAUCUAAAAGAACAUUUUCUCCUAGGAAUCCCUUCUAUGAGCCCAAAAUGGACAAAAGGCAUUUUGACCAUUAUUUGAAUCUCAUUGUUGGUUCUGUCUCUUCCUCCUAAUCUUAUUUUUGUCUCUUAGACUCUCCCACAAAAGAAAAAAAGAAACUGACAUCUUUGCUGGCCAUGGGGCAACCUGAAUCUAAAUUCAGCACACCCCUUAGCCUUGUGCUUGAUCAAUUCAAGGAAUUCAAGUGGUGGGCUGAGGGAUAUGGGGAAAGAGUUCAUAAAGUCAGAUUAACAACUUUUGUCACACAGGAAUGGCCGUUAAGGACCUAGGGGGUCUGGCCCCACUCCGGGUCUUUUAACAUGGAGACAGCACAAGCUGCUCGCCGGUAUGUUUUUGGGCCCCCUGCUCACUCUGACCAAAGUGUCUAUUUUCAGAUAUGGAUAGACAUAAUUUAUGAUGCCCCUUCCUGGAUUAAGCCCUCUCGUGACAGUCAUUGUGACCCUCAAACCAAAAGUAAAACCCGAGAAGCCGCCUUCUGAUCCUACCACGCCUCUGGUCCUGCCCUCCUAAGAAGACCCCCUUGACCCGCUGGAGGCACUCCUGCUGCCUCCCCUGUACCCCACCUCUGACCCUCAACCUGACUCCACUGCUCCAUCCCCACCACAUCCUGUUUGCACCCACCGACACCCACGGCCCAAGGCGUCUUCAGAGCAAAGCUCUGAGGUGGCUCCAUUUUGUCCAUUACGGGAGGUCCCUCGGCCGGACAGGAGCUCAAUAUUUGUGUACAUCCUUUUCUCCUUUUCAGACCUUUAUAAUUGGAAAUCCCAAAAUCCUCCAUUUUCAAAGGAUCCUGAAUCUGAUUAACCUUUUAGAAUCUGUAUUCUCCACCCAUUGCCCCACUUGGGACAAUUACCAACAGAUCCUGCGCAUCCUCUUCACGGCCGAAGAGAGACUGUGCAUUUGCACUCUUGGGCAAAGAGGAGUCUGAGAACUGGACGGAUCUACAUCUACUGAUCAGCAGAGAACUGAAUGCCUGUUCCCUUCCUCCUGACCUAACUGGGACCCCAAUACAGAUGGAGGGAAGAGGGCUCUCGAUAAUUAUUGCCUGAGGCUUCUAGACGCGCUUUGUGCUGCCGCCAAGAAGCUCACCAAUUUAUCUCGAGUGACUGAGUCCAGAAACCAAGGACAGCUGACUAUCAUCCUGUGCAAGAUCUCUGAGAGGUCAACAGACGAGUAUCAACUCUAUAUCCAACAGUGCCUAACCCCUACACUCUACUCAGCCUCCUCAACCUAGAGUGCACCUGGUACUCUGUAUUGGACCUCAAGGAUGCCUUCUUCACUCUACCUCUCGCUCCAGUGAGUCAACCCAUUUUUGCCUUUGAAUGGACUGACCCAGAUUCCAGGGUCACAGAACAACUGACUUGGACUUGGUUACCACAGGGUUAUAAAAACUCACCCACCCUUUUUGAUGAGGCUUUGGCUAGAAAUCUCUUGGGUUUUCAUUAAGAACAGCCCAAGGUAGUGCUUCUACAAUAUGUGGAUGACCUGCUGGUAGCCUCAUCCACCUUAGAGUCCUGUCAAGAGGCAACAGGGGAGCUACUAAAAACUUUGGGAUGAUUAGGUUAUAAGGUUUUGGCCAAGAAAGCCCAAUUGUGUUGCCAAACCGUGACUUAUUUGGGCUACCAGUUAUAGGAAGGAAAAAGAACUCUAACCAAAGAAAGAAUUCAAGCUAUAUUGCAGAUUCCAACCCCAGAAACUAAAAAACAAGUAUGGGAGUUUCUGGGGGUGGUUGGAUACUGUAGGCUAUGGAUUCUAAAUUUUACUGAGAUAGCUUGCCCCCUGUAUGACUUCCUUAAGGGAGAAACUCAAAAUUCACUGAACUGGACUGAUGAAUGUGAACAGGCCUUCUAGCAGCUCAAACGGGCCCUGACAGAGGCUCCAGCCCUGGGACUGCCUGAUGUUACCAAGCCUUUCACCUUGUUCAUAGAUGAACUCAGGGGUAUUGCCAAAGGAGUCCUAACCCAGGACAUUGGCCAUUGGAAGAGGCCUAUAGCCUACCUCUCCAAAAGACUUGAUCUGGUGGCAGGAGGAUGGCUCCCCUGCCUGAGAAUGCUAGCUGCUGUGGCAAUUGUACUUAAAGAGGCUAAGAAACUCACUUUUGGACAGAAGAUUUCUGUGGUGACCUCCCACAGUUUAGAGACUCUUAUAAAAACCCCUCCUGAAAAGUGGCUCUUGAAUGCCAGAAUUCUACACUAUCAGGCCCUGCUCCUAGACCCAGUCAGUGGUUUUCAAGACCUCUUCAGCCUUAAACCCAGCCAUCCUUAUGCCUGACGAUGACCCUGAAGUUCAGAGUGCGCCUCUCCAUGAGUGUGCUGAUCUCCUCGAAAUGCAGCAGAAUCUACGGGCUGAUCUUACUGACCAGCCUUUGGGGGAAUGUUGAUAAAUACUUCACUGAUGGGAGCAGUUUCAUCCAGGAUGACAAAGGAGUGGCUGGAUCGGCAGUGACUACCGAAAAAGAAGUACUCUGGGUUAAGUGGUUAAAGCCUGGCACCUCAGCCCAAAAAGCUGAGCUCAUUGCUUUGGCCGAGACACUAAAGUUAGCCACUGGGAAAAAGGUAAAUAUCUAUACUGACAGUAGAUAUGCUUUUGCUACUAUAUAUGUGCAUGGAGCCAUCUAUCAAGAGCAAGGUCUCUUAACCUCAGCCGGGACUAAGAUAAAAAUGCUCCACAGAUUCUAGACUUGCUGGCAGCUGUAUGGCUCAGCAGGUUGCUAUUCAAGUCUCAUCAGACAGGAGAUGACCCUAUCACCCUAGGAAACAAUUUAGCAGACCAGGCUGCUCAACAAAUAGCAACCACAUCAGAGGGGCCAACCGAGGUAACUGCUCUGAUGUUAAUUCCUCCCACCUUAUCUGAAUGGAUCUAUAUACAAAGAAAGACCUGCAGUUAGCAUCUCAACUUGGAGCAAAGUCCCUCACCCCAGGAGGUUGGUACCAAUUACCAGACAAACAAGUGCUAUUACCAAAGACACUAGGACUAGUGAGCUGCUACACCAGGCUCAUUAAACCACCCAUUUAGAGGGGACUAAACUUGCUGAAUUGUUCAGAACUCAGUUUUUCAUUCUAAGACUCUCCAAACUGACCACUUCUUUGAGCUCCAGAUGCCUGCAGUGUUUGUUAGUCAACCCGACCAAAAGCUCUCCACUGGAGACCACCUGGCAUCGAGGAACUGCCCCAGGACAACACUGGGAAGUAGACUUUACAGACAUGGUAAAGUCUGGUUUACAGGGACACCACUAUCUCUUGGUAUUAAUAGACACCUUCACUGGCUGGAUAGAGGCUUUCCCUACCAAGUCCAAGUCAGCCUUAGUGGUAGCCAGAAAGCUAUUGCAUGAGAUCAUACCUUGAUUUGGCCUUCCAUUAUCAAUGGGGUCUGAUAAUGGCCCAGCUUUCAUAGCCCAAAUCACCCAAAAGUUAGCCCAGGCAUUAAAGAUUAAUUGGAAACUCUACUGUGCCCCAGCUCAGGGCAAGUAGAAUGUAUGAACCGAACUCUCAAGGACACUUUAGCUAAGCUGUCUUUAGAAACUGGCGAUAAUUGGGUGAGCCUUCUUCCCUUUGCGAGUUAGAUGUACUCCUUAUGUUUCUGGAAUUUCCCCAUUUGAAGCUAUGUUUGGGAGACCCUCCACUGGUCCCAAGGCUCUCUGAGGACAAAUUAAUUGAAAUAAUGAACCAAGACCUCAUUAAGUCCCUGCAGGCACUCCAGCCUGUGCUGACCUCCAUCCACCAGCUGUUCAGACAAAAACACCAUGAUCUGCCUUCGGAGACACCGCUAAAGACACCUAUCCAGCCGGGAACUUCAGUCUUGGUGCAAUGCCAUUAUCAAGACUCCCUUGAACCCCGCUGGGAAGGACCUUUUAUGGUGGUGCUUGAUAGGUCUGUCAAGGGGAAGAGGGGGAAGGACUGGCUGGCGGUGGUGGCUGAAAAGAUAAGAAGUAUAAAAUAUAAGUAACCUUUAUUUCGGGAAUGCAGGGAGAGGCACCCCCGACCCCCCGAGGCGUGGCAUCUCCACCCUGGGGCCAGCAAUCUCUCCCCUGAACACGUGGAGUGAGGCACAUAAGUAGCCUUGGCCUGGGGUAGAACCUAGGGGGUAUUAGGGAUGCACAGGUAGCCCAUUGGUCUUAGUUUGGCGCCAGAGGUAGGUUUCUAAGGGUGGGGGUUUAGGGUUACAGAUAAAUCUCUAGGGGUGGGGGAGGCAGGAGCUCGCUAAUUCCGGCUGAGGCUUUUUCUGGCUAUAGUGUCCGGUCUGGGCCAGCAACCCUUUCAGUGCUCAGUACUCCCAUUGCAGUCAAAGUUGCUGGAAAGACUCCAUAGAUUCACCAUACUCACGUGAAGCCACUAGAAACUACGGACGAUGAGGACCUCACCCAAUGGAAAGUGCACCAAACUGGUAACCCACUAAAGUUGAAGUUUAUUAAGGACUCUUGAUUAUGCUAAGCAUGCCUUUAUUAUGGUCUAUAGUUUGUUGCUUAAUUAUGGUUGUACUCCCCGGAAAUGGGGAUUGGGUUAUUUCAGAUGAGAAGACAAAAAAGGAGUUGGGAAGGUCUAACAAUGACUUAAACCAAAUUACUCUUGACCUAUGUACACUCUUUAAUGGUAAUCUAGUUGAGAAAAUUGGCUAUUCAACCAAAUUCAAUUAUUGUGCUGACCUCCAGCAGGCCCAAAUUCUGUGAAACCAUUUUAAAAAUGGCAUCGAUGGUAUAUCCUUAUAUGUAUGUCCUAAAAGCCAACCAGACCCUAGUUAUAAUGCUUAUUGUGCCUCAGACCUGAAUGAACAAUACUGUUAUGCGUGGUCGUGUGUUACCGGAGGCCUCGGUAGAUAUUACCGCUCUGAAAAAUAUUUUAUUAUCAAGUGGAUAGGAAAUGAAAACUGUCAGACUGCUCAUACCUGUAAUCCUGUUCUGUUAACUUUCCUAAAUCCAUUAGAGCCAAAGUGGCAAGGAGAUGGACUCACUUAUACCAUUAAGGUUUAUAAAGCUGGAUACGAUCCAGGAAACAACAUUAACAUCCUGUAUAAACCCCCUAGGAAAGCCCCUACAGUCAUGCUUCAAAGGUCAGAUCAGACCCCUCCACCUCCACUUAAAGCUUUGACGGAGGCUAGGGUAUUUACAACUGUCACCAGCCCCGCCUUGAUACCCUCCCCCAAUGUCUUCUAUAUCCUCUAUGGCUGAUGUAUUUCAACCUUUGAAAAUAGUGGCCAAACUACUCAACACCUCCCUCAAGAGUAGUCUGACAACCCUAUGCUGGCUGUGUUUGUCCUAUAACCGCCCCCCUUUUUGAAGGAUUCAUUAAGGUCACUAAUGAGUCAUCACCUAGUGUGGCUAGGUGGGAUAUGUCACUCGCUCAGACCUUAUGGAGAAACACCAAAUUAGAAGGAGUAAGUGAUACUUGCAUAUAUCAUUCCAGCAACACAGCCCCUGAAUACUGUGAUCCUACAAAUUCUCAUGGCAUCACUAGGCCUGGUAAUCAUACCUCAUAGUAGCCCCAACAAGCCAUUGGUGGGCUAUACUUCAGGAUGGUACCCCUGCGUCACCUCAAAAAAGUUCGUUAUUGACCAAGAUGAAGUUUGUGUAUUGACCCAAAUUUUACCUAGAAUUUACUGGCAUCCAGAGGAAAAAUAAAAUAGGAUCCUUAUUUCUACCAACCAAUGGAUAAGCAAGAGAAGCCCAGUCCUUCCUAUUGUAGCUGGAAUUAGUAUAUUUUUGGCCCUUGGGCUGGGGGCCACCUCCCUGGGAGUCGGUACAUAUCAGUACAACUUGCUAUCCCAGCAGGUAGAUGAGGGGAUAAAACAAAUUCAUGAUGCUAUCGAAGCUUUAGAAAGCUCGAUUGACUCACUAGCUGAAGUGGCCCUUCAAAACCGCUGAGGGUUAGACCUCCUAUUAGCUGAAAAAGGAGAAUUAUGCUUAGCUUUGGGGGAAGAACGCUGCCUAUAUGCUAACAAGUCUGGAAUAGUAAGACAAAACUUAGCCGAACUCCAGAGGGGCCUUGAAGAAAGGAAAAAGCUAAGACAGGGAACUUCAGAAUGGAUGAAACAAAUGUCUCCUCCUCACCAUGGGUAACUAGUUUAGUAGUGACCCUAGCUGCCCUUUGUCAUGAUCCUACUACUAGUCACCCUAGGCCCCUGUAUAAUCAAUAAACUGACUGCUUAUAUUAGACAGCAAAUGCAGAGCAUGAAACUGAUAAUGAUCCAUCAACAAGCCUAUGAGCUUGGCCUGGGUCAAAACAUCAGAGGGGAAUGUUGUGGCCUAGCUCUAACCAAUGCGCCUCCUUCCUGUUCUGUAUGCACUGUUUCAAUAAAGGUUAAAAUUCCAUUUCCAGUAAAGACUUAAGUUUCAGCUCCUUGUAAAUCUGCCCCCCCACCCCCUUCUGCAUGCUUCUGCAAGGUGUGCUGAUCUGAGAAAAUGUUUAACCUCAGAGAGCAACGGAAUGUACUAAGAAUGUUAUCUGAAAUAGGUUGAUAGCUUUGUGGUUUUUAGCUUUAAAAACUCCACCCUUAGCCCGUGAAGCGCACAGUCUUCCAUAUUGGCUACCGCAAACUGCGUUGCCAGGCCUGGCCUAAAAUAAAGCCUUUGCUCCAAAUUUCUUAA
Cavia porcellus (domestic guinea pig) is the source of this 17695-nucleotide RNA transcript. It is a transcript of the gene named atypical chemokine receptor 2, with no coding region annotated. The record is from RefSeq and is a predicted model, not a curated record. The transcript has 3 exons. NCBI's taxonomy places the organism in Eukaryota, Metazoa, Chordata, Mammalia, Rodentia, Caviidae.